This 72-nucleotide transfer RNA is filed under the name Dysgonamonadaceae bacterium. Its description in RNAcentral is "tRNA-Met". It matches the Rfam family "tRNA". Rfam says of the family: Transfer RNA (tRNA) molecules are approximately 80 nucleotides in length. The record is from RNAcentral. Lineage: Bacteria; Pseudomonadati; Bacteroidota; Bacteroidia; Bacteroidales; Dysgonomonadaceae.
GGUAGGGUAAAGCAGUGGUAGCUUGCGUGGCUCAUAACCACGGUGUCGGAGGUUCGAAUCCUCCCCCUGCCC